RNAcentral lists this ribosomal RNA (397 nucleotides) under uncultured bacterium. Its description in RNAcentral is "partial 16S ribosomal RNA". It matches the Rfam family "Bacterial small subunit ribosomal RNA", at positions 523 to 918 of the family's 1533-position model. The record is from RNAcentral.
AUACGUAGGUGGCAAGCGUUGUCCGGAAUUAUUGGGCGUAAAGCGCGCGCAGGUGGUUCCUUAAGUCUGAUGUGAAAGCCCCCGGCUCAACCGGGGAGGGUCAUUGGAAACUGGGGAACUUGAGUGCAGAAGAGGAUAGUGGAAUUCCAAGUGUAGCGGUGAAAUGCGUAGAGAUUUGGAGGAACACCAGUGGCGAAGGCGACGGUCUGGUCUGUAACUGACACUGAGGCGCGAAAGCGUGGGGAGCAAACAGGAUUAGAUACCCUGGUAGUCCACGCCGUAAACGAUGAGUGCUAAGUGUUGGGGGGUUUCCGCCCCUCAGUGCUGCAGCUAACGCAUUAAGCACUCCGCCUGGGGAGUACGGUCGCAAGGUUGAAACUUAAAGGAAUUGACGGGG